CGAACGCUGGCGGCGUGCCUAAUACAUGCAAGUCGAACGCUUCUUUCCUCCCGAGUGCUUGCACUCAAUUGGAAAGAGGAGUGGCGGACGGGUGAGUAACACGUGGGUAACCUACCCAUCAGAGGGGGAUAACACUUGGAAACAGGUGCUAAUACCGCAUAACAGUUUAUGCCGCAUGGCAUAAGAGUGAAAGGCGCUUUCGGGUGUCGUUGAUGGAUGGACCCGCGGUGCAUUAGCUAGUUGGUGAGGUAACGGCUCACCAAGGCCACGAUGCAUAGCCGACCUGAGAGGGUGAUCGGCCACACUGGGACUGAGACACGGCCCAGACUCCUACGGGAGGCAGCAGUAGGGAAUCUUCGGCAAUGGACGAAAGUCUGACCGAGCAACGCCGCGUGAGUGAAGAAGGUUUUCGGAUCGUAAAACUCUGUUGUUAGAGAAGAACAAGGACGUUAGUAACUGAACGUCCCCUGACGGUAUCUAACCAGAAAGCCACGGCUAACUACGUG
This 506-nucleotide ribosomal RNA is filed under the name uncultured bacterium. Its description in RNAcentral is "partial 16S ribosomal RNA". It matches the Rfam family "Bacterial small subunit ribosomal RNA", at positions 30 to 507 of the family's 1533-position model. The record is from RNAcentral.